GAUCCUGGCUCAGGAUGAACGCUGACAGAAUGCUUAACACAUGCAAGUCUUUGGCGAAGUUGUGCUUGCACAGCCUAGCCAAGGCGGACGGGUGAGUAACGCGUAAGGAACUUGCCCUGCAGUCAGGGAUAACAGACGGAAACGACUGAUAAGACCUGGUAAAGUCAGGCGGACUCAUGUCCAGCCUGAUGAAAAGAGAUGCUGCAGGAGAGCCUUGCGU
Molecule: ribosomal RNA, 220 nt
Filed under: uncultured bacterium
Lineage: Bacteria
Description: partial 16S ribosomal RNA
Rfam family: Bacterial small subunit ribosomal RNA
Source: RNAcentral